This 576-nucleotide ribosomal RNA is filed under the name Triticum aestivum (bread wheat). RNAcentral describes it as "partial small subunit ribosomal RNA". The record is from RNAcentral. Lineage: Eukaryota; Viridiplantae; Streptophyta; Magnoliopsida; Poales; Poaceae.
AUGGAUGAGGUCACAAGGGAUAUACAAGGAGAUAUCACAUGGUGUAUGCUCUUUGUGGAUGAUGUGGUGCUAGUUGACGAUAGUCGGACGAAGGUAAAUAUAAAGUUAGAGUUAUGGAGACAAACCUUGGAAUCGAAAGAGUUUAGGCUUAGUAGAACUAAAACCGAGUACAUGAUGUGCGGUUUCAGUACUACUAGGUGCGAGAAGGAGGAGGUUAGCCUUGAUGGCCAGGUGGUACCCCAGAAGGACACCUUUCGGUAUUUGAGGUCAAUGCUGCAGGAGGAUGGGGGUAUUGAUGAAGAUGUGAACCAUCGAAUCAAAGCCGGAUGGAUGAAGUGGCGCCAAGCUUCUGGCGUUCUCUGCGACAAGAGUGCCACAAAAGCUAAAAGGCCUCCGGAAGCUCCAGUGCAUAGCGGACGACUAAAGCGUGCGGAGAAUGUCAAGAGAGGGCGGGGUAGACCGAAUUUUACAUGGGAGGAGUCCGUUAAGAGAGACAUGAAGGAUUGGAGUAUCACCAAAGAGCUAGCUAUGGACAGGGACGCGUGGAAGCUUGCUAUCCAUGUGCCAGAGUCAUGA